Molecule: long non-coding RNA, 7795 nt
Filed under: Lactuca sativa (garden lettuce)
Lineage: Eukaryota; Viridiplantae; Streptophyta; Magnoliopsida; Asterales; Asteraceae
Description: long non-coding RNA (LSAT_LNC000563)
Source: RNAcentral
UAAGAUGCUUCGAUCCGAUCGUGGUGGUGAGUAUCUUAGUUCAGAGUUCCUCGACUAUCUAAGGGAAUGUGGGAUAGUCUCACAAUUGACACCUCCCAGGACACCACAGUUGAAUGGUGUGGCUGAGAGGCGUAAUCGAACCUUGUUAGAUAUGGUUCGUUCCAUGAUGAGUCGAGCUACGCUACCAAUCUCAUUCUGGGGGUAUGCCUUAGAGACUGCCGCCCAUAUUCUUAAUCUAGUCCCUACAAAGAAAGUUGCCAAAACUCCUCACGAGAUGUGGACUGGUAAAGUACCUAAACUAGACCACAUCAAGAUUUGGGGUUGCGAGGCUUUCGUGAGACGCGAGACUCAUGAUAAGCUCGAACCUCGAAGCGAGAGGUGUAUUUUCAUCGGUUACCCACAGCGAUCCUUUGGUUACCUCUUCUACAGACCUAGUGACAAUGUGGUCUUUGUAGCAAGAAGAGGAGUCUUUCGAGAAAGAGAGUUUAUAAGCCAAGGAGACAGUGGGAGGCAAAUUGAUCUUGAAGAAAUUCAAGAAUCAAGCGGUGAAGGAACUUCAAACUCUAGCCCUCAACUUGAGGAGGAAACUCCUGUUGAGCCAAUUGACAAAUCUGUACCUCUGAGACGUUCCACGAGAGUUAGGAGUGCACCUGAGCAUUACUAUGGAUUCCAUAUUACUGCAGAAGGUGAGACACUUAUUAGUGAUGAGACACUAGUAAGUCAAGAUGACCCUAACAGCUACGAGGAAGCCAUGGCAGGCCCCGAGUCUGCUAAAUGGAAAGAGGCUAUGGAUAGCGAGAUACAAUCCAUGUAUGACAAUCAAGUUUGGAACUUGGUUGAAAAUGUACCAGGUCGUAAGACAGUAGGGUGCAAAUGGGUCUUCAAGAAGAAGACCGACAUGGAUGGUAAAGUACACACUUAUAAGGCUAGACUGGUUGCAAAGGGCUUCUCUCAAAUUCCUGGAGUGGAUUAUGAUGAGACCUUUUCUCCGGUAGCCAAGAUUAAGUCUAUUCGGGUUCUGUUAGCCAUAGCUGCAUUUCAUGACUAUGAAAUAUGGCAGAUGGAUGUCAAAACCGCUUUCCUUAAUGGAAAGUUGGCUGAAGAUGUUUACAUGAGUCAGCCAGAGGGUUUUGUCAGCAACGAGUACCCUAAUAGAGUGUGUAAGCUUGAGAAAUCCAUUUAUGGAUUGAAGCAAGCACCUCGCAGAUGGAAUCUUUGCUUUGAUGAAAAGGUCAAGGAAUUUGGCUUUUCUAGGAGUGAAGAUGAAUCUUGUGUGUAUGUCAAGGCUAGUGGGAGUAUAGUUAGCUUUUUGGUAUUGUAUGUGGAUGACAUACUACUCAUAGGAAACGACAUUCCAACCCUGCAGGAAGUAAAGUCCUGGCUUGGGAAGUGUUUCGCUAUGAAGGACCUUGGUGAAGCUGCCUAUAUUCUAGGGAUAAGAAUCUUGAGAGAUCGGAGUAAAAGACUAAUUGGACUUAGUCAGAGUACCUACUUGGAUAAGGUGCUGAAGAGAUUCAGCAUGCAGGAUUCCAAGAAAGGAGAGUUACCCAUCCAGAGUAACACCAGAUUGAGUAAGACACAAAGCCCUAGCACUGAGGCUGAGAUAGCAGAAAUGAGUCGAACACCUUACGCUUCGGCUGUAGGAUCGAUCAUGUAUGCUAUGACGUGUACUCGACCCGAUGUAGCUUUUGCCUUGAGCAUGGUUAGCAGGUAUCAGGCGAACCCUGGCAAGGCACACUGGACUGCGGUAAAGAAUAUCCUCAAGUACCUACGGAGGACUAAGGACUGGGUCCUUACCCUCGGUGGGAGUGAUGACUUGAGAGUUGUAGGGUAUAGUGAUGCUAGCUUCCAGACUGAUAGGGAUAAUUUCCGCUCUCAGUCGGGCUGGGUCUUUACCCUAAACGGAGGAGCAAUUUCUUGGAAGAGUUCCAAGCAAGAGACAGUGGCAGAUUCUACUUGUGAAUCAGAGUAUAUUGCAGCUAGUGAAGCAGCAAAGGAGGCGAUAUGGCUGAAGAACUUCAUUGGAGACCUUGGAGUUGUACCAGCUAUUAAAGAGCCAAUGGAAAUUUUCUGUGAUAGUGAAAGUGCUGUUGCCUUAGCCAAGGAACCAAGGGAUCAUGGGAGAUCCAGACACAUCGACAGAAAAUACCAUUUCAUUAGACAUCGGAUCGAAGAAGGACUCCUCGUGGCAAAGAGGGUAUCAUCGGAUGAGAACCCAGCAGAUCCCCUCACGAAGGGACUGAGUAGGGUUAAGCAUCUCCAGCAUGCUCGGAGCAUAGGGCUGAAGGAUGAUAUAAGUUUUAGUAGUUAGAUAACCCAGAAAUUUGUAAAGUGUAAUUGACAUUUGAUGAUGAAUAAAAGGUGUUUUAUUUAUGAGUAAAGUGUUGCUAUCUCUUGUCGAUCGUUUACUAUAUUUCUUUUGCAUGUUUUGACUUCCAGAAUAAUUUUGUUUGGUAUAACAUAUUAUUCAAACCUCCACAGUCGGUCAUAUGUUGGAAGUAGAUAUGAAUCAAGACUGUCAUGUUUGGUUGUAGAGGUCUUGGACAAGGCUACAACAAUCAUGAGUGCUCAUAAGUUCUGAGCAUUGGACUCAACCCACGCUCACUGGAAUCACUUCAUGGAAUUCUAUCUCGAGUGAUCGUGAGACGGUAAUAUCAUAUAAGUCUUCAAACCUAGAGAUAUGAUUUGUUACUUACAAGUUGGUUAUGCAUUGACUGUACGAAACCGCAUUGGUAACUCGAUGUUAUAAAACGUACUUUUGUGUGUAAUUCAAUGAGUGGUAGAACAAACAUAUGAGUCGAAGUUUAUCUGUUCCUUCUUGGAUUAGAAGCUGAUAUCUGGGCCCCUCGAUGAUUUUGUUUUGACCCAUGUACCGGGCCCGGUCAGAACUAAGUUGAUGUGUUCAAUUAAGUUCUAUGUCAAACAAAUCGGAAAUCGGGAAACAAAUGCUGGACAAUAAGCAAGACAAUGUUCCAUGUAUUUGUCCGGCUGAUAUCUAGAACGGAGGAUUAUAUGAUCACUUAUCUUAAAUGGCGUACCAUCAUCUUCUCAGUUCCGAGAGACCUUGAAAGAGCUACGAUUGCCGGUCGGUUCCUGAAGUACUAGAGAUAUAGUUAUUAGACUUAUCCAAGUGGGAGACUGUUGGAUAAGGUGUCUAAGUCCAUAACUAUUUCGGGCUUGUACUUGACCCGACCCGGCAUGGUCCAUUUGGGUUGCAUGGCACCAUGCAAUUGGAUAGACUAAAUGAGAGAAAUAACACUUGGAGAUUAUUAAUAUAUUAUAAGUUCUAAUAUAUUAAUAAUAUUAUUUGAUUAGUUGAUCAAAGAAUUAAUUUGGAAUUAAUUAAGUGAUCAAAGGAUAACUAAUUAAAUAUAUGGGUUGAUUAUGUAAAUCAUCCAUAUCUUGUAUAGUGGGCUAAGAGGCUCCAUGGAUUAUCAAGUUGGGUUCUACCCAUAGGAUGCUCCAUGGAUGCUCCAUGGGAGUUACAAACCCAUGGGUCAUGGAAAUGAAGAGUCAUGACACAUUAGGGUUUACAUGGUGUAACCCUAGAUGUGCCAACACUAUAUAAGAGUCCCAUUCUCCACAAAAUUGGCUACACAAGUUGAACACUAAGAAACUAGAGGGCUUGGCCGAUUUUGAGAAGUGUGUGUUAUCUCAAGAGUCUUUCCAAGAGCAUUUGGUGUUGUGUGAAGCAUUUGAGGCAUCACACUUGGGGUGCUAGGCUCACAAGGUUUCAAGGAACACAAGCAACAACAAGGUAAGUUAUUCUAUCUAUGAUUCAAGUUAAAAUUGUUCCCCAUGUAUGCUAGAUAGGAAUAUAACCUUGGAAUUCAACUUUGCAUGAUAAUUAGACAAACAUAGAUCCAAGGUUAUUAGGGUUGCAUGUACACUUAGGAAGUGUUAGAAUGCUCAAAACCCAUCAGUGGUAUCAGAGCCUAGGCUUGUUUGUUUGUUAUUUGUGCUUAAAAGUUGAAGAAAGUCGAAAAUUCUGCUGUCUGACUGAUGGACUCGGCGAGUCCAUGGGGAGGACUCGUCGAGUUCAUGUGUAUCUUCAACCUACUCGGCGAGUAGGUUUAUGCACUCGGCGAGUAGGGUCGACAGAGUGCAGAAUUUCGACUUGAGUUGCUGGAAAUGGAUUAGAAUCAUUACCCUAAAAUGUUUUGGUACUUGAAAACUUAUUUUAGAAGGUGUAAUGUCUUUUCUAACUCAUUUACAACAACUAGUUAUCAAAAUUACAAAGAUUAAAUGUGAUUUUGAUUCUUGAAAGUGUUCAUAUUCAUAUUCUUGUUCUUAUGAUGUUUAGAUGAUCAUAGGAAUUAUUUGUAACCUAUGUGGUAGAUUAAUUCAUGAUCAUAAUGUGUUUUAAUGGAGUCCAUAACUUGUCCUCAAGUUAUGGAAAACCAAAAGUCUCUUGGAUUAAAAACCAUUAAAAGAACACAAGAGUUAGGAAAAAUGAAAAGUCCUCAUUUUAUUACUCUAUUAAACUCAUAAGUUACAAGAAAUGAAAAGUUUUGAAAGUUUACAAAACUUGCCCUCAAGUUUUGGAACAAGUAAAGUUAAGUUAAAACUUUAGUUCCAACCCCUAGAAUUUUAAAAGUUAAAAUUCAACCCUUAUACUUAUAUUAUUAUGAUUUAAUAAUUAUAUAUAUAUGUAUAAGAACAAAGUCGUCUUACCGCUAGUACGCCUCAUUCACGAAGCCGGUCUAUAAGGUGGGUAUAAGGUUGUUGCCUAUAAAAUGGUGACUUAAUGGGUGUCCACUCUCACCCACCGCUUGCUUGAUCGGUGGAGGGUCGUUAGCCGAACGGGUAAGACAAGGACUUAUUAAUUCUCAUUCAAAGUAUGAUGAAUAUUAUAAAGUAACUAAAUGUUUUAUUAAAUUCCCAAUCUUAGUUACUUUAGGAAAAAUGUGAAUAAGGUGCUAUUCCAUGAAAUUACACUUUACACUUUGAUUAAGUCGUUGGUGGAGCGUGUGUGGUUAACCGGCACACUAACUUGGACUUAACAAGGUAGGUAAAGGGUGACUUAGGGUUUAUUAUAGUAUCGAUGGAGCGUGUGUGGUUAACCGGCACAUCGAUUGAGUGAUAAACUUUAAGGGUACCAAGUGAUUUGCAUGGUUACUUCACACCUCGUUUUGUGAUCCUCGGUAUCCCAGUCACAAAACUUGGAGGGCACACUCGAGAUUGAAACAUGCCUUUGAAAAGUUCAUUGAAUCUCAAAGAAUCUAGGAAUUUCUAAGAACCAUUCAAAAACCUAAUACUAAAAUAUUGCGGUUUUCGUGGUGGAAAUUGGUGAAUCGUCAUUCACCUACCUUUCAAAUAUGAUAUAGCUUAGAUUACGGCAUACCUCUUCUAAGUUAUAUUAUAUUGUGAUUGGAUCCUAGCCUUAAUAUUACAUUUGGGUGUUUUAUUAAGGACUCUCUUAUAUCUAAACUAAUCUUGUCCUCUUUCCUUCAGAUGUCUUUCAACAAUGCUUCUGGCUCUAAUCCUAAUGGCUCCUUUACCCUUAUGAACUUGUGUGGGAAAGUCACCUUUGAUGGAUCCAACUUCAAUGAGUGGAUCAGAAACAUCAGGAUGAUUACCCGCUACGAGGACAAAGAAUAUGUCCUUGACAAGGAGCUUAAGGAGAUUGAUGAGUCCACUGCAACUCCUCAGGAGAUCGCUGAAUUUCGGGCACAUGAAAGGGAUGCUACGAAAGUGGCUUGCAUCAUGAUGGCCACGAUGACAGCGGAACUCCAAAAGUCUUAUGAGGAUUUCUACCCUUAUGACAUGCACCAAGAUUUGAUGGAAAGAUACCAUCAAAGUGCAAGACAAGAGAGGUAUGAAAUCAUCUGCUCCAUGAUAACAACCAUGAUGAAGGACGGGGAAUCCGUCACGAGCCACAUGCAGAAAAUGCAAAGGUAUGUGGAUCGUUUGCUGAAGCUUAAUGUGAACUUCCCGGAGGAUCUUGCAAUAGAUAUUAUUUUGCAUUCCUUACCAUCGUGCUAUGAUCAAUUCCGCAUGACAUAUCACAUGAACAAGGAAGAAGUCACCCUCAGCAAACUUCAGGGACUUCUCAAGACCGCAGAAACAGGUCUUAAGGGGAAGUCGGUUGCUAUCACUCCUACUCAAAACUCUACUCCGGUUUUGGCAAUCGGGAAAAGUCGAGGGAGGAAGAGAAAGAGCUCUUCUAAGGGUACCAAGGCUCGGACCCUUGAUGGCUCUUCUUCAAGUGGAACCAAGAAAGGUUUCGUUACUCCUUCUUCUGACCCAAAAGAGGCUGAAUGCUUCUAUUGCCAUGAAAAAGCUCAUUGGAAGCGGAACUGCCCAAAAUACCAGCAAGAUGUGAAGGAUGGGAAAGUUAAACCCAACCAUGCAGGUAUUUACACUAUCAUUUCUAAUAACUCACCCCAUUCUAAUUCUUGGGUCCUUGAUACCGGGUGUGGUAUUCACAUUUGUUGUGACUUGCAGGGACUAAGAAGAAGUGAGGAUGUGGAGCAAGGAAGGAUAAACUUGAUCAUGGGGAAUAGGAAAGCUAUACCUGUUACCAAGAUUGGAGUUUAUACUUUAUCGCUAAGUAGUGGGUUUAGUUUAGAUUUGAAUAAGUGUUGUUAUUCGCCAGGAAUGGCAAGAAAUAUUAUUUCCUUUCAUGCUUUGUACAAACAAGGGUUUACCUUUUCAUUUAAUAAUGAAGUUGGUUCUAUAGAUGUUUUCUAUAAUAAUGUCUUUUAUUUUAAAGCAUUACCUUGUGAUGGUGUGUAUGAAGCUGUAUCUGUUGUAGAUAACUUGGGAAAUAAUGUUUUGUGUAUUGAUUCUACUAAUAAUAACUUGGAUAAAGCAUCUUUAUGGCAUUGUCGUCUUGGACAUAUAAGCAAGAAACGCAUAGGCCAACUCCAAAAGGAUGGAGUCUUGGAGUCGUUUGACCUAAAGUCAGAUGAUAGUUGCGAAUCAUGCUUACUUGGAAAAAUGACAAAGUCACCCUUCACAGGUUCGUGUGAGAGGGGUGAAGGUUUGUUGGACCUUAUACACACGGAUGUGUGUGGACCAUUCAAACAUGCCACAAGGGAUGCUAAUCGUUAUUAUUUGACUUUUACUGAUGAUUAUAGUAGAUAUGGAUAUGUCUACUUGAUCAAGCAUAAGUCAGAGACUUUCGAGAGGUUUAAGGAAUUUAAACAGGAAGUCGAGAAUCAAUUGGGCAGGAACAUUAAGAUGCUUCGAUCCGAUCGUGGUGGUGAGUAUCUUAGUUCAGAGUUCCUCGACUAUCUAAGGGAAUGUGGGAUAGUCUCACAAUUGACACCUCCCAGGACACCACAGUUGAAUGGUGUGGCUGAGAGGCGUAAUCGAACCUUGUUAGAUAUGGUUCGUUCCAUGAUGAGUCGAGCUACGCUACCAAUCUCAUUCUGGGGGUAUGCCUUAGAGACUGCCGCCCAUAUUCUUAAUCUAGUCCCUACAAAGAAAGUUGCCAAAACUCCUCACGAGAUGUGGACUGGUAAAGUACCUAAACUAGACCACAUCAAGAUUUGGGGUUGCGAGGCUUUCGUGAGACGCGAGACUCAUGAUAAGCUCGAACCUCGAAGCGAGAGGUGUAUUUUCAUCGGUUACCCACAACAAUCCUUUGGUUACCUCUUCUACAGACCUAGUGACAAUGUGGUCUUUGUAGCAAGAAGAGGAGUCUUUCGAGAAAGAGAGUUUAUAAGCCAAGGAGACAGUGGGAGGCAAAUUGAUCUUGAAGAAAUUCAAGAAUCAAGCGGUGAAGGAACUUCAAACUCUAGCCCUCAACUUGAGGAGGAAACUCCUGUUGAGCCAAUUGACAAAUCUG